RNAcentral lists this long non-coding RNA (2114 nucleotides) under Solanum lycopersicum (tomato). RNAcentral describes it as "partial TCONS_00128394". Lineage: Eukaryota; Viridiplantae; Streptophyta; Magnoliopsida; Solanales; Solanaceae. The record is from RNAcentral.
GUUUUGUUCAAUUAUCCUUCAUAAUAUCCUAAUGUAAUUAAUGAAAGUAAAAUUUUUUGAGACAUUUUUUAUUGUUUAUGUGUGUUACUUGAUUUUUCGAUCAUUUUAAGGAAUUUCUGUAAUAUUGGGUCAUUUUCGAGAAAUUUGAGAAGAAGUAAAGUGUUGUUCUAUAAUUCGUCACGAUAUUGUAAGGUCAAGUGUGCAAGUUAAGAUUUUUUGAGGUGCUUUUAUUUCUUAUUUGUGUUUCUCUAUUUUUUGGCCAUUUUGGAGCUUUUACGUAAUACUCGGUCAUUUUCGGGCAGUUACAAAGAGAAGUAAAUUUUUUUUUGUUAUUCUUCAUGAUAUUCAAAAUUAAUUGUUGCAAGUCGGAAAUUUUUUGAGGCUUCUGUAUUGUUGAUGUGUGUUUCUUGAUUUUUAUAUCAUUAUAGGUUAUUUCCGUAAUUAUUGGCUAUAUUCGAGUAGCUACAACCAUAAGUAAAGUUCUUUUCAGUCAUUCAUCACGAUAUUCUAAGGUAAUGGGUGCAAGUCAAAAAAACAUAAAGGCAUUUGUCAAUUACUUAUGUCUAUUUCUUGAUUUUUGGUUAUUUUGGGACAUUUCUGUAAUAUUCGGUAAUUUUUGAGCAAUUACAAAAAGAAGAAAAAUUUUAUUCUGUCAUUCGUCACCAUAUUCUUAGGUCAUUUGUGAAAAUUGACAUUUUCUUGAGGCUUUUUUGAAAUAUUUAUCUGUUUCAUGGAUUUUUUGUCAUUUUGGGGCAUUUAUAUGAUAUUCGGUCAUUUUUGGGUAGUUACGAAAAGAAGUGAAGACUUAUUCUGUUAUUUGUUACAAUAUUCUAUGGUCAUUGGUCUAAUGCAAAAUAUUUUUGUGGCGUAUUAUGUAUUGUUUGUAUGUGUUACUUGAAUUUUCAGUUAUUUUUUGAAAGAUGUUUAUUAUAUAAUUCUUCAUGAUAUUCAAAGGCCACUGGUGCAAGUCAAAAAAUUUUAAAACAUUUUUGUAUUUUUAUGUCUGUUUAUUGAUUCUUAGGGUAUGUUCUGGCAUUUAUGUAAUAGUUGUCUAUUUUCAGGCAGUAAGGAAAAGAAGUAAUGUUUUCUUCAUUUAUUCAUCACGAUAUUCUAAGGAUUGAUACAUGUUAAAAAAUUUGGAGGAGUAUUUUUUUGGUAUUGUUUAUGUGUGUUUCAUGAUUUUACAGCCAUUUUGGUUCAUUUACGUUAUAUUCGGUCAUUUUCAUGCAGUUAAGAAAUGAAGUAAAGUUUUGUUAUGUUAAUUGUCAUGACAUUCUAAGGACAUUGGUGCAAAUGAAAAAAUAUUUGAGACGUUUUAUAAAUUUUUUAUCUGCAUUCUUAAUUUUUUUGCUAUUUUUGGGGAUGACCAUAAUAUUCGGUAAUUUUUAGGCAGUUAUGAAAAGAUAUAAACUUUUGUGAUAGCAUUCGUCACGAUAUUCUAAGGUCAUUAUUGCAUUUUUAAAAAAAUUGAGCAGUUUUUGGUAUUGUUGAUGUGUGCUUCUUUAUUUUUCAACCAUAUUGGGGCAUUUACUUAAUAUUCAACCAUUUUUGCACAUUUUGGAAAAGAAGUGAAGUUCUAUUUUUUUAUUUGGCAUGAUGUUCUAAAGUCAUUGGUUAGGGCCGUUGAAGUUUAGAAGGCCAUUUGCAAGAAUACUUGGAUUUCCCAAGUCAUUGGAAGGUCCUCUAGUUUGAGGAUGGUGCCAAAUUUUCUACCUUAGUAGCUUUCAUUUUGUUCUAAGACAUUCACUUCUUUCCUAUUCUUGAAGAUAUUGUUGUAAGCCCUAUAUGGCAUUAUGAAUUUGUAUUGAGGGAUAUGCCUGAAUUUUAUACUUCCAUUUAGAUUGUUUGAUGUUAGACGACUUUAUUAGACUAAAUUCUUACGUAUUGAUUAUGUUGACUAAACGAGAAGAUUAUGUAAGCUUCCUAUGAUAGGAGUCAAAGUAAACUUCAUAUAUCGUAUGUGAGAGGUUUUGUAUACCUCAAUAUGUAUAAAGAUUUAAUAUUUCUGCAUUUUUGACCUAUGAAAUGUUAAUAAAACACCAAGGGCUUGUCUAAGUCCUCUCUGAGGAAGAAGACGCCAGUUACGUCUACGGGGUGCUCCCCGGUCAUGACAU